AAGAGAGAAUGCCGGAAUGAGUAGCGAGAGAAAGGUGGGAAUCCUUUCGACCGAAUAUCUAAGGUUUCCAGAGUAAAGCUGAUCUGCUCUGGGUAAGUCGGGGCCUAAGCACAGGUCGCAAGACGUAAGCGAUGGAUAACAGGUUUAGAUUCCUGUACCACGCAUUAUCAGAACUGUAGGGACGCAUGUGGAAAGCACGGGCCGGGAAUGGAAAGACCGGUACAAGCGGGGUAGGUGUACAAUAGGCAAAUCCGUUGUAUAAUCCGAAGACGUGAUGUGGAGCGAAAUAAAGUAGCAAAGCGUGUGAGCCAUGUGCCGAGAAAAGCUGCUAUUGUGUAAUGCGUGCCCGUACCGUAAACCGACACAGGUGGAUGAGGAGAGAAUCCUAAGGCCGACGGAAGAAGCAUUGUUAAGGAAUUCGGCAAAAUGACCCCGUAACUUCGGGAGAAGGGGUGCCUGCGAGAGCAGGCCGCAGAGAAUAGGCUCAAGCAACUGUUUAGCAAAAACACAGGUCUAUGCGAAACCGAAAGGUGAAGUAUAUGGGCUGACGCCUGCCCGGUGCUGGAAGGUUAAGAGGAGAGGUUAGCGUAAGCGAAGCUUUGAAUUUAAGCCCCAGUGAACGGCGGCCGUAACUAUAACGGUCCUAAGGUAGCGAAAUUCCUUGUCGGGUAAGUUCCGACCCGCACGAAGGCGUAAUGAUUUGAGCACUGUCUCGACAAUGCAUCCGGUGAAAUUGAAGUACCAGUGAAGAUGCUGGUUACCCGCGCCAGGACGGAAAGACCCCAUGGAGCUUUACUCCAGUUUGAUACUGGGAUUCGGUACUGCAUGUACAGGAUAGGUGGGAGACGAAGAAGGAUGGACGCCAGUCUGUCCGGAGUCGCUGUUGGGAUACCACCCCUGUAGUACUGGGUUUCUAACCAGUUGCCAUGAACUGGCAAUGGGACAAUGUCAGGCGGGGAGUUUGACUGGGGCGGUCGCCUCCGAAAGGGUAUCGGAGGCGCUCAAAGGUUCCCUCAGAAUGGUUGGAAACCAUUUGAAGAGUGCAAAGGCAGAAGGGAGCUUGACUGCGACACCGACGGGUGGAGCAGGUACGAAAGUAGGACUUAGUGAUCCGGUGGUAUAAAGUGGGAUUGCCAUCGCUCAACGGAUAAAAGCUACCCUGGGAUAACAGGCUUAUCACUCCCAAGAGUUCACAUCGACGGAGUGGUUUGGCACCUCGAUGUCGGCUCAUCGCAUCCUGGGGCUGUAGCAGGUCCCAAGGGUUGGGCUGUUCGCCCAUUAAAGCGGUACGCGAGCUGGGUUCAGAACGUCGUGAGACAGUUCGGUCCCUAUCCGGCGCGGGCGGAGGAUAUUUGAGAGGAGCUGUCCUUAGUACGAGAGGACCGGGAUGGACGGACCACUGGUGUAUCUGUUGUCGACCAACGGCAUGGCAGAGUAGCCAAGUCUGGAAGGGAUAAACGCUGAAGGCAUCUAAGCGUGAAGCCCCCCUCAAGAUGAGAUAUCCCUCCUUCGGGAGUAAGACCCCUUGAAGACUACAAGGUAGAUAGGGCAGAGGUGGAAGCAUGGCAACAUGUGGAGCUGACUGUUACUAAUAGGUCGAGGGCUUAACAA
RNAcentral lists this ribosomal RNA (1611 nucleotides) under metagenome. RNAcentral's name for it is "bacterial LSU rRNA". It matches the Rfam family "Bacterial large subunit ribosomal RNA", at positions 1286 to 2925 of the family's 2925-position model. The record is from RNAcentral.